Non-coding RNA from Thermoactinomyces vulgaris, 267 nucleotides. Lineage: Bacteria; Bacillati; Bacillota; Bacilli; Caryophanales; Thermoactinomycetaceae. The record is from Rfam.
CCGCGCUAGAUGGGGAGCUGGCGGUGCCCUGUAACCCGUAAUCCGCCUUAACGGGGUUGAAUUCCUAUCUGAGGCGCAUCUUGUGCGAGGUCUGGUCUGGAUGAUCAGUGUUGAUAAUUGGGUCCUACGCAACGAGGCCUUCCGAACCGUGUCAGGUCCUGACGGAAGCAGCACUAAGGGAGAAUCCUCGUGUGCCGUAGGGGUGCCUGGUUUGAGCUGAUGAUCCAGUGCCCGCUCGGGCUAGGUGCGUCAAGGAUAGGUGCGCGG